AUUGAACGCUGGCGGCAGGCCUAACACAUGCAAGUCGAGCGGAUGCAGGGAGCUUGCUCCUGGAUUCAGCGGCGGACGGGUGAGUAAUGCCUAGGAAUCUGCCUGGUAGUGGGGGAUAACGUCCGGAAACGGGCGCUAAUACCGCAUACGUCCUGAGGGAGAAAGUGGGGGAUCUUCGGACCUCACGCUAUCAGAUGAGCCUAGGUCGGGUUAGCUAGUUGGUGGGGUAAAGGCCUACCAAGGCGACGAUCCGUAACUGGUCUGAGAGGAUGAUCAGUCACACUGGAACUGAGACACGGUCCAGACUCCUACGGGAGGCAGCAGUGGGGAAUAUUGGACAAUGGGCGAAAGCCUGAUCCAGCCAUGCCGCGUGUGUGAAGAAGGUCUUCGGAUUGUAAAGCACUUUAAGUUGGGAGGAAGGGCAGUAAGUUAAUACCUUGCUGUUUUGACGUUACCAACAGAAUAAGCACCGGCUAACUUCGUG
RNAcentral lists this ribosomal RNA (484 nucleotides) under uncultured bacterium. RNAcentral describes it as "partial 16S ribosomal RNA". It matches the Rfam family "Bacterial small subunit ribosomal RNA", at positions 30 to 507 of the family's 1533-position model. The record is from RNAcentral.